Molecule: unclassified non-coding RNA, 3773 nt
Filed under: Caenorhabditis elegans
Lineage: Eukaryota; Metazoa; Nematoda; Chromadorea; Rhabditida; Rhabditidae
Description: Non-coding transcript of protein-coding gene Y71G12B.5b
Source: RNAcentral
AUGUGGCUGACAAAUUAUUUUCUUCUCGUUUUUCUUCUCUUCAGAACUAUUCAUGGACUCGCCGAUGGAUCCGAGACCACUGUCAAGGAGUUUUUGAGCAAAGUGUCAGAUGAAAUUGCUACUAGAGAUGCUUCCCGGAUUGCUACACUAUUUUCCGAUGGGUUCUCGUUUCAAGGAUGCAAGGGAAAAUAUGACAAGGAAACCGCCACCAAAAUUCUAAGCAAACUCCCUGCUGGCACCCCAUUCUCCUUCACUCUUAAAUCAGCAAAGCCCCUCUCCGACGACAGAAUCAGUUAUAUUGUAUCUAUCAAUGGAUUCGGUGCUGCAUCAAUCGACGCGCUGUUCAUUCUCUGCGCAAAGACGUUAACAUUGGCUAGUGGAAGCAUUGUAUCCUGCCCUCCGAGGCAUUUCAGUGAUCAUGCUAAUCCCGAAGAAAUCGUCAAAACUUUCUUGGGAACUGUGACAAAGGCCCUUGAGUCGAAAGAUGCUUCCCGUAUUGCUACUCUAUUCUCCGAUGACUUCUCAUUCAAAGGAUGCAAGGGCACUUAUGAUAAGCAAUCUGUCAUCAAGAUGCUAAGCAACAUCCCAGCAGGAACACCUUUCUCCUUUACCAUCAAAUCAGCCAAAUUCAUUGCUACCGGGAGAAUCGAACAUGUAGUCUCUAUCAAUGGAUUCAGUGCAACUCCACUUGAAGCUCAGUUCAUCCUGUGCCCACAGAGAUCUGUCUUGGUCGGUGGAAGUAUUCCGUCUUGUCCUCAAAGACAUUUUCUUGCUGGCGAUAAUUCCAACUUGGUUGCAAAUAAGUUCUUGGAUAGACUACCUCAUUCAAUUGCUUCUCGGGAUUCUGAUAUUAUUUUGGGACUUUUCCGUCCAGACUUCACCUUCAAAGGAUGCGCGGGAACAUAUAAUAAAGCUGAAGCUGUCAAGACAAUCAUGAGUCUACCAGCUGACAAAAAUGCCACUUUCACCCUCAAGACUUCUCAAAACAAGGGAAAAGAUCAGAUCACAAUUAUCUGUACCGUGACCGGGAUCAGUAAAAGCCCAUCAGACAUUGAACUUACUCUGAGCUUAUUGGAUCAACAGUUGGCUGCCGGGACUAUUUUGAGCUGUCCAAAAAGAUCUUUUACUUUUGACCAAGCAUCUGAUGUUAUUAUAAGUGCGUUCCUGGACAAAAUGACGUAUACUCUCGCGACCAAAAGCUCUGCAAAGAUUGGAGAUCUUUUUGCUGAGAGCUUUGUGUUCAAAGGAUGCCGUGCAACUUAUGACAAGCAAGCCAACGUGGAACUUCUAAGCAGUCUUCCUCGUGGAACCCCCUUCUCCUUCACUCUCAAAUCAUCCCACUUCAUCUCGGAGUACAAAAUCGAGUACCUGGUCGCCUUGUCUGGAUUCGGAGUUCCAACUCAUGAUGCCAAGUUUGUAUUCUGCUCCAAGAGACGUGUGUUGAUUAGUGGAGAGAUCCCAGCUUGCCAGCCAAAGCGUUUCUUUGCAUCUUCGAAAGAUAAUUCAGUGGUGACUGUUAAGAAGUUUAUGGGAAAAUUGACGGAUGCGAUUAAAUCGAAAGAUUUGGGGAGCAUCGGAGGGCUUUUCGCAGAUGCUUUUGUUUUCAAAGGGUGCAAGAGUGAUUAUACCAAAGAACAAAUAAUGAAAACCAUCAGUCAACUACCAGCUGGUGCUGACGGAAGGUUCCACUCGGGACUCAAGUCCGCUGAAGAUCAUGGCUCUACCAUCAAAUACGUUGUCGGUGCAACCGGGACAGGAAACAAAGAAGUUCUCGUCGAGUUCUACUUGAACAAACAAAAGCUGCAAUUGGAGAGUGGACUGGUGCCGUCUUGCCAGAAAAAUAACCGGCUGUUCGUUCAUCAUGACUUCCCGGUUGCAUCUUGGGCCAAGAGAAAGUUCUUCGAGUUAAUUGCUCACAAUGAUGGCUCACUGCCUAUUGUGCAAGAAGCUCUCGAGAAGUUGAAGAAGGCUGUUCUUUCUGGACGCAAGGAAAAAAUCGCCAACUUUUUCAAUCAAGAGUUCAAUUUCCAUGGAUGUAAAUCCAGUUAUAACAAGUACGACACUGUUGAGAUGCUCUCGAGAUAUGCAGGAUCUGCUUUUGAAAUGCGGGUCACCUCUUCUCGAUUUGUUGACUAUAACGCUGAAAUCGAGUACACCGUAAUCGUUCAAGGAUUUGGAGUGAAUAAAAUUAUGGCGGACUUCCAUUUGACAAGAAACAUCGGAAGCUUCUGGAGACUUAGCUCAGGAGUAAUGACAAAUUGUGAAGCGCCUAGAACCUUCCUGUCCGGGGAUUCGAGCAGAAUUGCCGGCGAAUAUAUGAUAAAAUUGCAAAGAGCCAUUGAUCUUCGUUCGACUUCCUUAGUUAACGACCUUUUCGCAGACGACUACGUGUUUGAAGCGUGUGGAGGAAAGAUUUUUUAUAAGCAUAACGUCACGGAACUGCUCACCAACUACAGUCUCCGAAGCUCUGUGACCCAUACUUUGAAGUCAGCCCGUUACAUUAACAAUCGAGAAAUUGAUUUCACAGCGGAAUUCGUUGGACUCUACCCAAAGCCAAUAUUGAUCCAAUUUGUGUUGGACUUCCAAAAAGGAGUGGUACUUCAUGGAAAAGCACCAAAUUGUGAAGCUCCAAAAAGUUUCCUAGAUUUUCCUGAAGAGUCGGAUAGAGUUGCAAACAAUAUUUUGAACAAGUUGCAAUACGCAAUCGAUCAUCGUUCGGCUUCAGCGGUUAUGAGCCUUAUCGCUGACGACUACACGUUUCAAGCGUGUGGGGAAAAGUGUUUUCUAAACAAAAAGUCACUGAACUCUUCACCACCUACAAUACUGGAAUCCCAACAUCCCACAACUUGAAGUCAUCACGUUACCUGAACAAUCAAGAAAUUGAAGUCACCGCCGAAUUAAUCGGAAUCUAUCCAACGCCGUUACAAGUUCAAUAGGUGGUAGACUACAAAAAAGAAGUGGUACUUCAUGGAAAAGCACCAAAUUGUGAAGCUCCAAAAAAGUUCCUAGAUAUUCCUGAAGAGUCGGAUAAAGUUGCAAACAAUAUUUUGAACGAGUUGCAAUACGCAAUCGAUCAUCGUUUGGAUUCAGUGGGUUUUCUUAUCGCUGACGACUUCACGUUUCAAGCGUGUGGGGGAAAGGUGUUUUCUAAAAAAAAAUUCACUGAACUCUUCACUACCUACAAUACUGGAAUCCCAACAUCUCACAACUUGAAGUCAUCACGUUACAUGUACAAUAGAGAAGAAAUUGAAGUCACCGCCGAGUUAAUCGGAAUCUAUCCAACGCCGUUACAAGUUCAAUUGGUGGUAGACUACAAAAGAGGAGUGGUUCUUCAUGGAAGAGAACCAAAUUGUGAAAAGUCUAGAAAAUUUUUUGCCGCUCCUGAAGAUGCUGAUAAAGUUGCUGAGGAUUUUUUGAAAUCACUGAAAGAAGCAUUCGAUCUUCGCUUGACACGAAAUAUUGAAGAGCUUAUUGACGAGAGCUUUGUCUUCGAAGGAUGUGAGGGAGAAACUUUCAGAGGCUACAAAAUCGUCCGGCUACUUCGCUAUUACCCAAAGGGAAUCCCGACCUCGUAUAGCUUGAGAACAUCACGUUACCUUGACUAUAAUGUGAUUGAGAUCAUAGUGGAGACAACUGGACUCUUACCAAAACCAUUCCAUGUUCAACUGAUCCUAGACAUCAAGAAGAAUAAAUUGAUUUCCGGACGAUCACCGAAUUGUGAUUUGAAAAAUUUGGUCGACGAAUUGAGAUUAUCUUAUGGAAGUAUUUUCUGA